RNAcentral lists this long non-coding RNA (360 nucleotides) under Elaeis guineensis (African oil palm). RNAcentral's name for it is "long non-coding RNA (EGUI_LNC035632)". Lineage: Eukaryota; Viridiplantae; Streptophyta; Magnoliopsida; Arecales; Arecaceae. The record is from RNAcentral.
CAGUUUUUUACUGUUUUUUGAUUCCUGACUUGAGCGACGGAGGAUUCUAGCCGGAGCGAAAAUUUUUGGCCCAGAUUUUAUUUUACAGGUCACUCCAGCACCCCUGUGCAACACCCAGUCGCUCACCUUCCGAUCUUAACUAGAACCAGUAGCAACAGACAGAGGAAGGGUCAAUUUUCGCAUCAUGCCAUCAAAGAAAACCACCACCAGGCAAUCGGGAUGAUCUGCCACCUCUCAAAUUGUCACUGGUGCUGGAGAAAAUCACACACCAACAUCACAACAACCGGUUCCUCUGCCACCAAUGCAGCUAGCCCAAGGUGUUUUUUAAGACCAGUUUGCCUUACUGAUCGAUCAAGUCCG